CUAUCUUUCUAAUCAUAAAUUAUCACGUCAUUAUAUUUAAUUUUUAUUUUAAUUUUUAAAGAGAGAGACAAGAAAAUAAUGAGCGAAGAAGGUCCUCCAAAGCUAUACACCAACAAGCCCCGAAAAGCGCAACUCAAGCAUGCUCGAGGGCAACAGAAAUCCAACGGCUUCUCCUCGCCGACGGCGACGGUCACCCACGGCCCAGCCACUGCUCCGCCGCCUUUGCCGGAAAUGUUGUUGCCAACCACUGUUACGGUACUCAAGUCCCUUUUUCUCUGUCGGUGCUCAGUUAUGGGAUAGGGUUUGAAGACAGGAGUUGAAGAUAGAAGAUUUUCAUCCUUCCUACAUAUACUUAAGAAAUAAAAAAAAAUUCACACCGCAACGCAACCCGGCCUCCUUCAUUUCUGUCAUAGACUCUAUUUUCUAUUUAUAUUUUAAAAAGUCAGCCAAUAAUAUUUACCCAGUUGUAUUCGUACCAUUUUCAUGCAAAUAGUAUUCAUAAAAUACAACACUGUUGUUUACAUGUUUAAUAAUUAAUAUCAAGCAUGUUAAGAGAAUGAGUAGUGUUUAGCACAUCUUUAAUGGAAGCAACUCAUUUAAGUUGUAUUAUGCGUUAAAAAAUGAAAAAAGUGAUUUUGAGUGUGCCAUGUUAGCAUUAAGUAACUCAAACACAAAUUUACUCUAAUGAUAAUAAACUUUAAGAUAUUUAACUUUUAAAACUUUUUUUCUAA
This is a non-coding RNA of Cajanus cajan (pigeon pea), 731 nucleotides long. The record is from RefSeq and is a predicted model, not a curated record. Lineage: Eukaryota; Viridiplantae; Streptophyta; Magnoliopsida; Fabales; Fabaceae.